This 492-nucleotide ribosomal RNA is filed under the name uncultured bacterium. RNAcentral describes it as "partial 16S ribosomal RNA". It matches the Rfam family "Bacterial small subunit ribosomal RNA", at positions 29 to 507 of the family's 1533-position model. The record is from RNAcentral.
AGUGAACGCUGGCGGUAGGCCUAACACAUGCAAGUCGAACGGCAGCACAGUAAGAGCUUGCUCUUACGGGUGGCGAGUGGCGGACGGGUGAGGAAUACAUCGGAAUCUACUUUUUCGUGGGGGAUAACGUAGGGAAACUUACGCUAAUACCGCAUACGACCUACGGGUGAAAGCAGGGGAUCUUCGGACCUUGCGCGAUUGAAUGAGCCGAUGUCGGAUUAGCUAGUUGGCGGGGUAAAGGCCCACCAAGGCGACGAUCCGUAGCUGGUCUGAGAGGAUGAUCAGCCACACUGGAACUGAGACACGGUCCAGACUCCGACGGGAGGCAGCAGUGGGGAAUAUUGGACAAUGGGCGCAAGCCUGAUCCAGCCAUACCGGGUGGGUGAAGAAGGCCUUCGGGCUGUAAAGCCCUUUUGUUGGGAAAGAAAAGCAGCAGGUUAAUACCCCGCUGUUCUGACGGUACCCAAAGAAUAAGCACCGGCUAACUUCGUG